GAUUAAGUUUUAAUUCGUGUAUGUCUCAAAUGCUCGCGAGUAACUCGACUUAAAAUGAGUCCACUGAGUCGAGUUAAAUUCGAGUACUAUAAAACGAGUCGAAUUUGAAUCUGAGCAAAUAUUGUAAAAUUAUAUUCGAACUUGAUUACGAAUCAUAACAGUUCUAAAAAAUUUCGAGUAGAAUCUGAAGAAUACAAUGUUUAAAUUGACUCGGGAUCAUUUUCAC
Molecule: long non-coding RNA, 226 nt
Filed under: Panax ginseng (ginseng)
Lineage: Eukaryota; Viridiplantae; Streptophyta; Magnoliopsida; Apiales; Araliaceae
Description: long non-coding RNA (PGIN_LNC014139)
Source: RNAcentral